Molecule: ribosomal RNA, 450 nt
Filed under: uncultured bacterium
Lineage: Bacteria
Description: SSU rRNA
Rfam family: Bacterial small subunit ribosomal RNA
Source: RNAcentral
AGAACGAACGCUGGCGGCAGGCCUCAAACAUGCAAGUCUAGGGGGGCGUAGCAAUACGUCACCGGCGGACGGGUGCGUAAAACGUGGGAAUGUACUUACUGGUUCGGAACAACUCAGGGAAACUUGAGCUAAUACCGAAUGUGCCCGAAAGGGGAAAGAUUUAUCGCCAGUAAAUCAGCCCGCGUCCGAUUAGCUAGUUGGCGGGGUAAAGGCCCACCAAGGCGACGAUCGGUAGCUGUUCUGAGAGGAAGAUCAGCCACACUGGGACUGAGACACGGCCCAGACUCCUACGGGAGGCAGCAGUUGGGAAUCUUGGACAAUGGGGGAAACCCUGAUCCAGCCAUGCCGCGUGAGUGAUGAAGGCCUUCGGGUUGUAAAACUCUUUCGACGGGGACGAGUAAUGACGGUACCCGUAGAAGAAGCUCCGGCUAACUUCGCGCCAGCAGCCGC